Molecule: long non-coding RNA, 4751 nt
Organism: Bacillus rossius redtenbacheri
Lineage: Eukaryota; Metazoa; Arthropoda; Insecta; Phasmatodea; Bacillidae
Exons: 2
Source: RefSeq, a predicted model, not a curated record
UGUCAGUCUCUAAGCUUUAUUUCCUACUUUUAAAUUACAGUCAGGUAUUUCUUUGUUUAUUUGAUUUGACACAUCCAUAUGUACACGAUGAAACAAACCAAGAAAUACGCUCGGUUUAACAAAACUGUGGCCCGGUCGCUCCUCCGGCCCGCAGAGGAGUUGACACGUGCUCGUACAAAUGAAAUCAAAGCUUAUUUGUUACCCUUUAGUCAACACCUCGGAAACAUCAAGCGAGCACUGGGACAUCACAUCUACACUCGUGAUCAACACCUCGCAUCGAGCGUUUGGUCAAACUGGAAAGAAAAACACACUUCAAAACACGUUGUUUACAAAAGUGCCGUAAAUUAUUGCUAAACCACUGUUGACUAGCUUACAACAGUAAAAAACACACAUCCUUGGAUCCUUUGCAAAAAACGCACAGGCAUUAUUGUACAUUACACAUCAACACUAGACAUCACUAUCAUUUCACGGCUACUGUUCACCUCCACACUUAGUAAAUAACAAAUAGUUACAAGAAGUCUGUGUUUUACAAAUAGUCACACAGAGGCAUCGGCUGCCAGUUUGAGUCACGACGUGGGUCCGUGGCGAGACGCGGCGCACGCUCCGUGUCUGUCUGUGCCACAGCGACACGCUUCCCUCACGCUGGCAGCGACAAGUACACAGCAGUCUUACAACUCAGUCGCUAGAUAUUCGUUCCGGAAGAGGAUUAUUGUGCUGUCCUAAGAAGAAAAUACAUCAUAAAAAUUGUUCAGAGAGUUACUUCUCGAGCUUAAAUAUGGAGGCUCAUUAAUGGGAAUCUCAAAAAAUUGAAGACUUAUGAUAGUAAAUACUAAAUAGCUACCUAUCUCUUCCCAGUCCCUUCCUUCUGUAUCCCGUUCUCCCCUUCUCCAUUCUACUGUAUCCCGUUCUCCCCUUCUCCUUUCUACUGUACUCUCUUAUCUCCCCUCUUCGUCCCACUCGUCCACCCCUCUUCUUCCCGUCUGUGCCACCCCUCCCCCCCUGCGGAGCCCACCCGUGUCAGCGCUCGCUCGUAGCGGCAUGCCCCGUCCCUCGUGGAGCAGGCGAGUCUCAUCUCCCAACCGUGCCUUGAGGCCUGAUUUGUCGCCAUUUGAACUUGUAUAGUAGUUCCCACUAAUAAUUGCACCAGUAAAAAAUAUGUGUAACUUUUGUUUUACAGUUGUUGCCUUGCAGGUUGCACGAAGAACUUGCGGAGCCACCGAGUACGUCCGUAAACCUGACUUGCAUGGAGCUCCGCGCUUCGCUCAGCCAGCAGCUGUGGGGCCUGACUAGUGCCCGUCCCACGAGUGACGACCAGACAAGCACCCGAGUGCCAUCGCAGCGACGUCCGCUGCACCCCGCGAGGCUGCAGGUUGCAGUGUAUGCAGCAUGCGCUUGGGAAAUAAUGCGAAAGUGAAGGAAGUAAGAUAGCACAAUAGUACCUAGGUGUGAAGCCAGUAUGCAACUCGGGAAAACAUUGGCCAGAAUGGCUGAGUGGUUUGUAUGUGCCUCACGUGGUUGGUUGAGUGGAAUAGUUGAAAUCAGCGGAUUGCUUCAGAACAUUGUCCGCACGACACGCACACGAAACAUGUCCUCCGCAAGUUCUCCGCAGAGCUCUACAGUACUUCUGACACAAGAGCUGAAACUAGAGACUUGCACACUUAUUUCAGUGCAGUACGCCUGUAUGUUUUAUCUUUUACUGUCUAAGGUAAAACAUUCAAUUCUUUAGAAACAGACUGACUUGAAAAACAAAAUAUAUUAUUAUAUAUUAGCGUUUAUGUUUGAAUUACAUUUUUCUUGGACCAACUGCCUUAACAUUUUUUUUUCUUUUCAUGAAUUUUGAAGAUUAAGUAUUGGGUGUAAAAAAACCUCUCACAAAUAUUAAAUGUUACUUGUUAGUUAAACAGAUGCUGAACUUAUUUUGUAUAAUUUCAGUAAUAUUUUUUUAUCAACCUUUCAUGAUAGGUACUUUGUAAUUCUAUGUUUAAGGCAAGUUUACCUAUAAUGCAUUCAGGCAAUUAUACAUAUAAUGCAUUCCUUACUAAAAAAAAAUCAUUGUGAAAUUUUUGUAGUGUUGACAACAUAAUUUAUUUUAAAAAAAAAUUCUUAGACGUGUUUUAAUGAAUAAUAACCAAAUGAAGACUAAUGUUUCCACUUGGGAAAGAGGGUAGCUGCCCCCACCCCUCUUCUCCCUGUUGUGUGUGACGGGGAAGACAUAGCUCUUGUUUCGUGUCGUGGAAGUGCACUGUACUGGCUUCCACGCCAUGAGUUCAGGCUCUUACAGGUGUCAGCACUGUGCCUUAUUGGACUGAUUUCACACUUGAUGUCAGAGUACCAUCAGUUCUCACUAGUUCUAAGUACACGCCGGACUGCCUGACAUUGGAACUGUAGCAUUGUGCUUUCUCUGGAGCAAGUCAAACACAAUUACAGUGCACGGAACAACCAGUAGAGCCAACUUAAACAGGCUGACAGGGCAGAGAUCAGUGCUGACAACAUGCUGGCUGCCCGAGGUAGCUGUCUCCGUGGCCUCAAAGAGAACAAUUUUUUUUUUUUAAAGACAGUAAUUGACAAAUUGGGAAAAUGUAAGAACACUUGCAUGGGGAUUAUUCAUGCCCUGUAUUUCAAAACAUUUAGAAACCAAAGUUAUUAGGCACCAAUAAAUUGUUAAAUUCAAAUACAGUAAAUCAUUGUCCAAUUUGAACUACUGUAUUCCAAAUCGUAGAUGCUUUGAAAAAUUUUGCUGGUCCCUCGUAAAUUUCCUAAUAAAUCAGUAUAAAAAGAGGAUCAUUCAAAAUUAUCUGGUGAGAGUUCAAAGCAAAUGAGAUUAAUGCCCUUUCAAAUUCCGUCCUUGGUUUCAGGUACUUUAUGGCUGCUGAAAUUCAAGUAUGGCAGCAUGAAGUACUGUGUCCCACUUGCUCUAAGCUGUCAGCUCACACAGUCUCAACUUGUUUGAGUUAUCAGCCUUGUAAUUUUUUUUUUUAAUGUGAAAUCAAAAAUAUAUUAGGGCCAUUGUUUAGUAAAUUAGUAACCUGAAGGUAAGUUAGAAGGUUAUACCUGUGGUGUUAGACCUCGCCUAGUAAACCAUGCUACAGCAAAGUGCAACACAGAUGUUUUUUUUGCAUGGACUGUAAAUCUCACCGUAACAACAAUGUGCGAAAGCGAGAAACAAGUGUUCACUACUUGGUGAGCGGGACGAUGGAGUCGACUGCACGGCUAGCGGCGGCCGCGCCGGGGUGCCGCGGGGGGCGGACAGUGCUUCGUUGUGGCGGGCGAGGGGGCGGGGCGGAGACCUCACGUGGACUCCAUCUGCUCCGUCAGCUCCAGGAUGGGGCUCUCGCUCACGGGCUGCAUGGGCGACGACAGCGGCUGCCACGGCAGGUAGGGUCCCGGCACGCCCAGCUGCGCACACCCACACACAUCCUCGCCAUCCGUGCCGUGCCUCCGUGCCGCACGCUUGCGGCUGCUUACUGGGAGGGCCACAUCAGGUGUGUUUGCAGCUAAGCAGUCGCCCUCACGGGCCCGCCUACCUGGACGUAUGGUGCGCAGAGCUUCAGGGAAAACUACUCGAGAUACCCGAGCAGUGUCUGUUCAAGAAAAGCAAUAGAGAAUACGCUGAGGGUGGAUGAGUAGUUCUGUUUCCAAAUGUGUUGUACAACUGUUAUUUUAGGAGAGUACCUGAAAAUGGCUAAAGAGCGUGUUUUCAGAAUAAUUUUUUUGGCAUGAAACAGCCGUUACAGAUUCUUGAAAGCAAUUGAGGGACUUGCUUAUGUAUAUUUUUAUCUUCCAUUCCCGUCCAUACAAUGUUAUUCACCGCUCCAGUACCUAAGGGUGCGGUAAUACGGAACACAGGUGAACGGGUUUAAGUAAACACGUUUACAAAUGCGAAAGUGAACGGUCACACAGCAGUUGGUGUGAAGUGUGUUCAGCUCCAGAACUGAUCGUCUACUGCCAUCGUAUUUGUUUGAGCAAGUGCACCUCUGUUAAAGAAUUACCGUCAGGAUCAAUUUCAAAACAAUAAAAUAUUUACCUGUUCCAUCUUUCUUUUUUUUGUUGCAGUCAGUAACAUAUUACACGAACACGUGCCAGGAACAUUCUCCAUCUUGUGUUUUCACACAUAGGACUGUUUAUACCCUCAGCACUCAACAGCCAAUCAGAGGCUUGUGUAGAAGAGAUGUCAUUCUGAAUUAUUUGCCAACCUGUGCAGGUUGAAUUAGAAAUGGCCUCGAAUGAACCAUGUUCAGACUGUGUGUUCACCUGAAGCAGUUCAGAGCCCAGUGUGACCGCACCCUUAGUUACCUGAUGCACUCCUCCAGGUCUGCUCGCCAGUAGCCCAGAGGCGACACCGCGCUGGAAGCACAUCAAGCGUACACCCCUCACUGGGCGGGCCGCCUGGACAGGCAGCGAGAGUUGCUUAAUGAACUGACUUGUCAGGUUUCCAAUGGUGUCCAUGUCUGGCGAGUGAUAAUGACACGUCUGUUGCCAGUGACCACCGCUCCGAGGCAACGUGCGCUCACUGUGUCCCGUGGUCGUCUCGCAGAAGUCGCAGUUCCUCAUCCUGCACGGAGCCGACACACUUGCACCCAGCAAGCUGUCUCGCAAUCACAUGGCUCGUUCAGGCUUUGCUAUUUGCUUUACUUGCGUUUCUUCUGUCAACUGCUUUUAUUGUCAAAUUAUGUUUCUUUUAUUUAUGAAACAAGUUAUAAAUAACACAUUAAUAUCCAUGUAUGAUAAAUAAAUAUUGUUACAAUUUUAAA